AAAAAACACUCUUUAGAUUUCAACUGCACAUGAUUUAGUAGACAGUUUCUUGGUUACUUGGCAAUAAGAAUUUAUGUACAGAUUAUAUCUUCAGUCAAUUUAAAGUACAUGUAGUUAUAAAUUGUCAUAAAAUGGCAUCUGACAUGUUUUGUUGUUUUGAGUAAGCCUAGACUAAACAGUUCUGAGACUUGCAGAUUAACAGUAUCUAGUUAACUUAUUAACAGAUUAACAGUUUUAUUAAUAAGCAGAUCAGUGAAUAAACCUAUUAACCAUAGUUCAUUUUUGGUAGACGCACAAGUUGAGUUUUCAGUUUCCCUACUAUGGUCACUUGCUUAAUGAAGUAAUGCUUACAACAGGAGGUUUCCUGUACAUGGAUGUACAUGACACUAAGCUCAUGACACAGGUUCAGUAUCUAGCACCACUAAUGGCGUACUUUAAUCCUCAUUUGAGCAAGGACUCAAAGGUUUACACACUUGAUGAUGAAUCAAAGUUGACUGUAGAGUGGUAUAACGUUCAUCUACAUGUACAUGAGAACGCUACUGAUAAACCAUUCACCUUCCAGUGCACCCUACAUAAAGAUGGCAGAAUCUGGUUUGCAUACAAACAGAUCCCAAUUGAAGUAGGAAAGAUUCCUUCCUUGCCAUACCACCCAGUGAAAGUUGGCAUAGCAGAUGCUUUUGUCAUCAGGCAUCUAGACACCCGAAGGAACAUUCUCUUCCGAUAUUUUUACAUAUAUAGCGCAAUUAACAUCUCCAAGGACAGUGUUGUUAACAAUGCAGCAGUGAUAUUUCAACCUCUGCUAAGUUGUGUGGGUGCCCAAACAUGUACUGAGUGUAUCGAGCGAACUGCAGCAACAAAUUUUUCCUGCCAGUGGUGUACUAAGACAGAGAAGUUAGUACAUUGUAACUCUUUUUAGUACAUUGCAAUGUAUGCAACACAUGUUGUGUUGUAAAUCUAAGAGAAUUACAAAUUGCUAAAUGAUCCUUGCUGGCUGGGAGGUCCUUAGAGUGAAAAACUAUGAUGAAGGUUUUGAAAUGCAUUUUCAAGACCGAGGUCACAGUUUUAUUUUUCAUCACUAUAUGGACUGACCCUAAGCUGGUAAACUACAACUUAUUUCGUUCACCUCCCCCUCCCCACCCCCUCUCUCUCGAGUAAAAAAGAAAUCCGGUAUAGAAAAAAAAUGAAAGCGUUACCAUGACCGUGGCUAGAGAUAGGAAAAUCCGGACCAAGCUAACAAUAAAUCAGGUAGCAUUCAUUACCUUGAAUAAAAAUAGUUUAUUGCUAUAUGGCUAACUCUGUGAGCAGGCAAGAUGAACCAAACCCUGCACUGUGAUUGGCUACCUGAGUGGGCAAGAUGCCACUGUGCCCCGCAAGAAAAAUUUAUCCCAAGCCAAAGUAGAAGCCAUAUAGUAAUUCCUUUAUUGACCAAGUGUUUGGUCAAGAUGGAUGGAUAUUGGCCUGGUUCAUUUUUGCAUGUUUAUGAACCUCGACAUCUUGACCUCAUGCUUGAUCAAUAACCCAUAUUUAUUACCAGUAUAUGACUUGUUUUUUUAGCUGGUAUAACGCGUGCUCUGAUUCGCUAAUUCUACUGCAUUUUACCGCCGUAAUGCCCACGUGUGCAUUCCGCGCCUGCAAAACCAAUUGAGAAAGCCAUAUAAUAACAACUUAUUAACUUCGAACGUUCGGUCUUUAUGGAAAAAUCUCAAACCUCAGCCUUGUCGCAUUGACCUCACUAUCGCUCUGUCAAUACUGCAAAGUCUCGGUUUGAGAUUUUGCAGUAAAGACCUCACUCUCGGUUAAUAAGUAGUUAUUAUCACCACCGAGACACUCAUGACUCUCAUGUGACCUUGGUUUCCAAGGUGUCGUAACAGCAGGGGAGAGACUUGGAAUGAGAUCGAAACUCUCUAAACCAGUUUCAGAACCGGUUGGUGCAAAGUGUAAGAAUGGCCAAUUGAACACUACUAUGCAUACCAGAGUAAUGCCUAAAAACUAUAUGGUGGAACACCUAUUAAGCAGCCACCUAUUGAACGGCCACCCCUAUUAGGUGGCCAGUAAUCAAAGUCCCGAUGAGGGCUUUUCUAUUGUAUUUUACCCUAUUUUAUACUGUAUUUAAUAUUACCCUUUUAAGUUGAACUGUUGUUUAUUAU
Unclassified non-coding RNA from Orbicella faveolata, 2147 nucleotides. NCBI's taxonomy places the organism in Eukaryota, Metazoa, Cnidaria, Anthozoa, Scleractinia, Merulinidae. The record is from RefSeq and is a predicted model, not a curated record.